GUAGGGAAUAUUGGACAAUGGGCGAAAGCCUGAUCCAGCCAUGCCGCGUGAUAGAUGAAGGCCCUCUGGGUUGUAAAUAUCUUUUAUCUGGGAAGAAACUCCUCUAUUCUUAGAGGCCUGACGGUACCAGAGGAAUAAGCACCGGCUAACUCCGUGCCAGCAGCCGCGGUAAUACGGAGGGUGCAAGCGUUAUCCGGAUUCACUGGGUUUAAAGGGUGCGUAGGCGGGUUGAUAAGUCAGUGGUGAAAGCUCCGGGCUUAACUUGGAAACUGCCAUUGAUACUGUCAGUCUUGAAUGUCGUAGAGGCAAGCGGAAUGUUGCAUGUAGCGGUGAAAUGCUUAGAUAUGUUACAGAACACCAAUUGCGAAGGCAGCUUACUAUGCGAUAAUUGACGCUGAGGCACGAAAGCGUGGGGAGCAAACAGGAUUAGAUACCCUAGUAGUCC
Molecule: ribosomal RNA, 445 nt
Filed under: uncultured bacterium
Lineage: Bacteria
Description: bacterial SSU rRNA
Rfam family: Bacterial small subunit ribosomal RNA
Source: RNAcentral